UCCUCGGCGGGCUCGCCCGCCGCCAGGAACCCACAAAACCCCUUGCAUGAUGCACGAACACUUCUGAUUACAACCUAAAAUUAUCACAACUUUCAACAAUGGAUCUCUUGGUUCUGGCAUCGAUGAAGAACGCAGCGAAAUGCGAUAAGUAGUGUGAAUUGCAGAAUUCAGUGAAUCAUCGAAUCUUUGAACGCACAUUGCGGCCACGGGUAUUCCCGUGGCCAUGCCUGUUCGAGCGUCAUUUACACCCUCAAGCCUCGCUUGGUGUUGGGCGUCUGUCCCCCCGCGACACCUCUCGCCGCGGGGACUCGCCUCAAAGUCAUCCCGACGCGCGGUUAGGACGGCACUUUCGCAGCACAUUUGCGCAGAGAAAGCCGGCCAAACCGGGCACGGGGCAACAAACCUUUCACGACUUGACCUCGGAUCA
This 427-nucleotide ribosomal RNA is filed under the name Pezizomycotina sp. Hm. Its description in RNAcentral is "eukaryotic LSU rRNA". The stretch from base 88 to 241 matches the Rfam family "5.8S ribosomal RNA". The record is from RNAcentral. Lineage: Eukaryota; Fungi; Ascomycota. RNAcentral also lists the same sequence under 1 other name.